UUUUGGGAAUGUCCCACUGUUGAGUUUCACCUGCAGACAUCUUUCCUACUUGCUAAAGACAGUUCUUCUCUCCACCAGAUUUAUAAAAGCACAACAUAUAACAAGGAAAUCAAUCUUCUGUCUAUCAUAUGAAGAUAUGGAGGCUCAAAGAGUUUCACUCACUUAACCUAACGUCACCCAGUUGGUAAGCAGCAGAAUGGACACUUUGUCUGUUUGGCGCCAAAGCCCAUGAUCCUGCAUUCCACGUGGGCCCUGGGGACGGUGCACUUCGGCAGGGCUGGGAUCAACGGAGGUGAAUGAGGCAAGCAUGAGGAUUACACAUCUCUGCUCCCCUUGUAGUCCGGAGAGGCCAUGUGACUAGGUCUGACCUAUGGGUGGUGAACAGCGGUGAUCCUGUUAUUUCUGAGCUGAUGCAUUUGAUUUGAUUUAGAUUGAUCUAAAGGCCUCCACCAUUCUCUCCUGCACACUGACUGAGGAGGCAGCAUGUCCCAGAUGGUAAAGCUACAGGAUGGUGGCAUCUCUGUCUGCCUGGAUUGCUGAGUCACAACAUGGAGGGCAGCUGCUCUAGAAGUGACCCAGACCUGCAGUGGGUAUUGUAUGCAUGGGGAAUCAACUUUGGUUGUGUCGAGUCAUCAAUGUCUUGAUAUGGCUUGUUCCCAAACCAUUCCCUCACCUAGUCUGACUAAUACUAUUGAAAAGCUGAAAUUUUAAAAAUCUGAUUAAAAGAAAAAACUAUCAAUACUGAAAGUAAAUUACAAAAAUGAGGAAAAAAAUUGUGCUGUUGUCAAAUGCAGAUUAUACAUGGUUUAAUUUUUGGCACGUAAGGUCUAGCGUUCAGAGGAGCAUCCAAGAAACUUUAUGAGCAUAACAUGCUGAUGGGAAUUUUAUCCAUUUGGCAGAAGUCAGAGCAAAAUUUGAUAAUAUUAUGGCAGAACAUUUAUGCAUGAUAUAAAUAUUGACACCAAAU
This 967-nucleotide long non-coding RNA is filed under the name Equus asinus (donkey). RNAcentral describes it as "lncRNA (ENSEASG00005037101.1)". Lineage: Eukaryota; Metazoa; Chordata; Mammalia; Perissodactyla; Equidae. The record is from RNAcentral.